CCUCUUUUAUGUGCUUUCAAGAACUUCAUUUAAAUUUUCAGGCGUUUUUCUUGACCAUUGAUUAUGGACUUAUUAAAUGUGUAGCCAGAUUCAAUUUUAGGCCGCAUAAUUACUGCUUAGGACUUUUUGUUUGUAUAGAAUGCCAGUGUUUUGGAGACCAGGAGGGCCUAAGAAGUUUAUCUAAAACUGAAAAAGGAGAUUCAGAUCAACUGAUGAAUGAACAACAAACUAAUGGAAAUUUGGCAAAAAGCAUUUUACAUGGUACCGUUAAAGUAUUUGGUUUUUUUGCCAAUCUUGCUAAUCAAUCUGCUGGGCUCCCAUGAUGUAUUUGUUUCAUCAGCUUUUAAUUCUUGUGAUUAACAAUAUUUCACAAUAUUUUUACAUUUUUAUUGUUCUUUCACACUGAGCGAAACUUGUUGUGAUAUAUACAGAUAAAAUUUAUUUUUGUUUCCUGGGAAUAUUUCUUCCUUUGUUAUUACUAAUAUUUUUGUUUAUAACAUAAAACAUGCCAUUCUGUAGGUAUUUCGUUUCACAUACAAUGUUAAUUGUAUUAUUGAGUUUUGAAUUUUUUGUGUGUGCAUAGAAAAACUGGUUACUGUGGGUUUUAUUAUAUAUAGAUGUGUAUAAACAGUGCAGAUGUCGCUUAUUAUUUUGAUAUUAUAUGGUCUGUGAUUAUUUAAACAGAAUAAAGUAUGCAGGCCAUUUUUGUUGUCUAUCUGAUGCACUAUAGAAUAAUGUACCUGAAUACUGUAUACAUUGUGCAUUAGAAUUUUCGUAUAAAGAUGCCAGUGUAAAUCUGAGAAAUAUAUCUAUGUGUGCGCUUGUAUAAAAAUACAGAAAAUAUUAUUUGUGUUGGUUAAUUAAGCCAAAAUAUAUAAUUGCAUAAAAAAGAUCAGUAUAUGCAUUUAAGUUAUUAUGUAUUGAAUUAUUAUUGAGCAUUGAAGAGGUUUUUAGGCGUACUGAUUCUGUUUCUUUCAAAGUAUGGUGUUCCAAAGAAUAUUUUUUUCCUCUCCCGCUAUGGUAUUUCCUACAUGAUUCAUAGAAAAUGUUUAUACUUUUUAAAAAAAUCCAUAUUUAUUUGUUAUUAAAUUGUAGGUUUGUAAUAUAGUUGUAAGCAGGCAAUAUGAAUGAAAAUUUUGGGAGAUAUCUUUAAGUAUUUUACUUAAUUUAGGCAUAAAAUAUGUUAUUUUUUAUGGACCUAACUUACUAGAAAGAUAAUUGAUUUUUAAUAUUUGAUCUAGGGUUUUUUUAUUACAUGAAUAACUCAAAUAUUUGGCAUACUGUAUGAGUGCAAGAAGUAUAUAUUUUGUAAAUUACUGGAACAUACAAAUUACAGGUUUAAUAUGUUAAAUCUGAUCAAUCAAAUCUGUAAGUUUUAAAAAUACUUAAUAAUCUACAUGAGUGAACUUAGAAUAAUCUUUUUUCCCCUGAUUUGGAAAUUACUAAGCAUUGAGAAAAAAAAAAGUACGAGUAAGCUUGAAAGUAGAAAUUGUGCAUGUUUCUGAAAGCUCACCAAUAAGCGUGAUGAGUGACAUUUGCUAUAUCAAAGGAAAGUUGAUUAAAAUGACUAAGUAUUUGUAAAGCCGUGUUUUUUAAUUUGUAUACAUUGGUGUCAUUAUUUCACAAGUAUAUAAAUUUUCAAAGCCUUAAAAGUUUCAUAUUUAUAAUGCUAACUGUUGUAAUUUUUUUCACAUCUUUUAGUUGUAAUGUUGGCAUGGAUUUUGUUCUGAUUUCAUGAUAGAUUGCAUCAUUAUAAAAUGAGAAAAUUCCAACCAUAAAAUGAAGAAUUUCCACUGAAGAAUAUAAUUUUUUAGAAAAUGUGUGGAUUUGACGAAUAAGCGAAAUCAAAACUGAACAGCCAGGCAUUUCAUAAGUGAAAUAAAUGCUUAUUUUGGUCUUAAAAGAAACAGUAUAUUUAUUUUUGCAAUUUUCAUUCUUUUUUGAAACGUUUCUUAUUUUUUACAUAAAAAUAUAACAAACUUUUAAGAAAUAAAACUUACACAACGCUCAUCAAGGAACACUCCAAGUAACAUUGACUCGUUGCCACACGGCGAAUCUUAAUAAUUUUAUAGAAGCAUUAAAUUAUGUUCCACUGCAGAUGCACAAGCAUAAUUGUUUAGAAAAGACACAAGCAUUAAAACUUCCUACAUGACUUAAAAUAUCAAAAUAAAUAUGUUCCAUGUGUUAAUUACAGAUCUCAACCAAGUACCUAAAAUUUUUAUAAACUUUCUCAGGCAAUUUUUUAAUAUUUAAUUGAUAUAAUUUAAAAAAGUGCAUAAGAAAUUUUAAUAAUAUCUUGAGAAUUUUAAAGUGAAUGUUUAUACUUUUCUUAAAUCUUAGCAGAGAAGUUGUCUGUAUUAAGUAAAGAACUGCAUAAAUUAUUUAUUUUGUAGACAUUUUUUUUUUAAAAAUAAUUUUGAGUGAAAUGGAAAACUGCAAAAUUGUAUUGGUGGAACAAAAUCCAUGACUGAGGUGGGGCUCAAAUGUUAUCCAUUGUUUCAGAUAUCUAUUUACUGAUAUGAAGUACGAAGAGGGCAAAAAAGAAGCAAUUUUUAAGGAAGAGUGCUUUAUAGGUUUUUUUUUUUUUUUUUUAAAUCUAAAUUGUAAUAUUUUCAGAACAUUCUUUGUUUCUUUUUAUGUAUUAAAAGUGAAGUGUAUUACAUCGAAUUUCCCAGAUUAUUCAUUGUUUUGUUUUGGAAAAGGAUUUUUUCUAAGGAAAUUUGUGCUGUUUUUUACAUUAUGAAGUCAUUUUUAAAAGUUGACAUCUGAUUUUCUUCUUUAAUAUUAUUUGUGUGGGAAAUUCUAUUAUUAUUAAAAACAGUAAUAAACAUUUUGAAAGGGCAUAACUUUAGGAACAUUUAAAUUUUGCCAAGUGUUCUGAUUGUAUAUAAGUAUUGUUUAUGGUGCAUAAUUUGUAGCAAUUUAAUAUUGUUUUAGGAAUUUUUUUCCCUUGUAUAUUUUGAUAUGAAUUAUUAGAACUUUUGAAGAUAUCCUGCAGUUUAAGAAAGAAAAAUACUGUAUAGGUUUGAUAGAAAAAAAAGUGUUAUUGGAGUUACUGUUAAAAGAAUGAUAUACACAUGUUUGAUCAUUUAAGAUGUGUACAAUAAAAGAAAGAUUCUCUAUAAUAUUUUUAGGAACGUCUUGUAUCAAAUUCAGUUUUAUCAUUAAAAUAUGUUAAACGUUA
RNA transcript from Stegodyphus dumicola, 3184 nucleotides. It is a transcript of the gene named apoptosis regulator BAX-like, with no coding region annotated. Lineage: Eukaryota; Metazoa; Arthropoda; Arachnida; Araneae; Eresidae. The record is from RefSeq and is a predicted model, not a curated record.